CCCUCCGCUCCCCUCAAAAAAUAAUGGUCUGUCUUUUAUGUAUGUUUCUUUGAUCUCCAGAUGGAAUCCUUGAAGACUUUGCCACAGAUGGGACUGACAGAAAAGAUGUGUUUUUCUAUCAGGCUGAUGAUGAACACUAUAUUCCCAGAGCAGUUCUUUUGGAUUUAGAACCAAGGGUAAUAGAUGCAAUCACUUCUUCGCCGUAUGCCAAUUUGUACAACCCUGAAAACAUGUACACUUCAAAACAUGGUGGAGGUGCAGGCAACAAUUGGGCCAGUGGAUAUUCUCAGGCUGAACGACUUCAUGAAGAAACAUUUGAUAUUAUCGACAGAGAAGCUGAUGGCAGUGACAGUUUAGAGGUACCAUUACUGAAGGGAAAUUGGAUCAUGUGUACAAAGGGCGUCAACGGUUGAUUGUCAAUUGAUACCCUCAAUCCACCCUUGAUCAACACUCAA
Long non-coding RNA from Orbicella faveolata, 455 nucleotides. The record is from RefSeq and is a predicted model, not a curated record. NCBI's taxonomy places the organism in Eukaryota, Metazoa, Cnidaria, Anthozoa, Scleractinia, Merulinidae.